UCUGGUGAUUCUAGCGAAGGUGUCCCACCCGAUCCCAUUCCGAACUCGGACGUUAAACCCUUUAGCGCUGAUUCUUUAUUUGCCCUUGCUCCUUUGCAAGGG
Molecule: ribosomal RNA, 102 nt
Filed under: Pseudomonadota bacterium
Lineage: Bacteria; Pseudomonadati; Pseudomonadota
Source: RNAcentral